Long non-coding RNA from Megalobrama amblycephala (Wuchang bream), 1829 nucleotides. RefSeq lists it as uncharacterized. The transcript is spliced from 3 exons. The record is from RefSeq and is a predicted model, not a curated record. Lineage: Eukaryota; Metazoa; Chordata; Actinopteri; Cypriniformes; Xenocyprididae.
GCCUCUCCCUGUUAAUGUUUGUUAUUUUAUUGCAUUAGUAUUUUAAUUUUAUAUAAUUAAAUAAUUACCAAAUUCAGAUUUAAAAUUAAUUUUAAAUGGAUUAAACAAUCAAAACAUACAAACAAAAAAGAAUGAAGAAAUCACCAAAGUCAAUAUAUAGUUUUUAGACCUAACAUUUUGCCACAUUCUCUUUUUUGCUUUGUUUAAUAUAUUAAAAUUAAAUGAAUUUGGUAAUUAUUUAAUUCAUAAUCAUACAAUCAGUAACUGUCCCAUUUAACAAUGUUUUGUAGGGACGGCAACCAAAAUUAUCAAUUAAUUCACUCCAUAAUCAGUAUCAUGUAACAUAAUGUUUCAAAUCUACAUGUAAAUGCUGCGUGACUUUUACGUGUUUUAAUGUGCGUGCGCGUGAUCAUUCGAGUCGCAUUUGAACUGGAGCGGAGAAAGUUACCAUGGAAACGUCGCGGCACCUCUCAACUGACAAGCAGCGAACCCCAUCUCUCACUGUUGUUUUCACUACUUUCAGGUAAGUUUAGUCCCUAUAAUUACACAAAUAGUACAUAAAAAUAUUCCUGACACUUUCUUUAAUGUAAAUGACUGGCUUCCGUUGAAUAUUUACUUUAUAUAAAUGGUUUAGUGUCUUCGAAAAAGUUCGUUAGCAUCUCAACCGUUAGGCUAACAUUAACUAUAAGAGGUUAACUAACUUAUAGACGUGAACUCGUUUAAGUUUGGGCUUUUAAUCAUAUAUCUUAUGUGUAGAUGAGAGAUUUUGAUAGGUUUGUAAAGGUUUUGCUGGUAAGCUAAUUAAUUUAACCUAAAAGUAUGCACUGUACCGUUAAUCGGUGACGUCACGUACAUGGAGAGUGUAAAUGGGCUGAAACUAUUUAAAACACGUUUUGAUAUGUCAUGGUAAACAUUUCCAAACAUCUCAAACUUGUUUGAUCUUUCAUGGUAAAAUGGCUUUGACGUCCAAACAUAAGUGACAUUGUAUGAGCAUUACUGAAUAAGUAAGGUUAACAUUAAACCUAAAAAUGUAAAUUCUGUUAUCUUAAGAUUUCUUUGUGUGUAUAUUCUGUAUAUUAUUAUUUUUCUUUUCUGCAUUUCAACUCUGCUAUAGUUUAUUUAUAAUGUGCAUGCCAUUGUUUACUAAAUAUUGUUGGCUCUGUGACAAAUUGUUUUAUGUUCCCAGAUUUUUCCAUGCUGAUGUGCAGUUGAACAUCUUUAGACAUUGUGAACCAUGUGACUGGAUUUUUUGGGCGGAGCUAAAACAGGGGGUUUGAUGAUGCACUGGAGCCCCUGAGCAUCUGUCAGCGCCGACAUCUGUCAACAACAGUCUGCAGUAUGUGCCCACCAAUGAGUGAAGCCUGCUGAAGAAGACAGAGGACUGAGACAACACAUGCACUUGAACACAAACACACACCCUAUACAUCUGAGGUUUUUUUUCUUCAUGUGUAAUUUUAAUAUUUGCUUUUGUAUGUUUUAAACACUCAAUUUUCAGUGCACAUUUGGAAUGAAAUAAAAGCUCAAUUUGAAUUAGUUAAUUGUUUUCAUUUUGGGAAACAUGGCUAUAGGCCCUGCGGAAGAACAUGGUACUGUUUUCUGUGGUAUAUUGCUCAAUGAUUUUACAUGGGUUUCACAUGAAGUUACAGGUGUACAUGGGGUGUAACAUACAGGUUUGUCUGAGCUCAUCUAAAAUAUGAGUUAAAGUGUAAAGAGGAUUUGUGACUGUCACAAAUAGUUUAGAGCCAAUCACUGUAAAGCACUACACCUACAGUACAAAAGUGUGACACUUAAAGCCUCCAUUCUGCAGUUCAACUUCUGGAAAUGAAAAU